UCCCUGGAGGACUAGUGGUUAGGCCUUGGUGCUCUCACCGCUGUAGCCAGGGUUCGAUUCUUGGCCAGGGAG
Molecule: transfer RNA, 72 nt
Filed under: Pangasianodon gigas (Mekong giant catfish)
Lineage: Eukaryota; Metazoa; Chordata; Actinopteri; Siluriformes; Pangasiidae
Description: tRNA-Glu
Source: RNAcentral